CUACUCUGGCACUGCACUCAUUUGUGAUCCUGGGAUCAUAUCCUAGUUAGCGGAGUCACUCUAUGAAUUAUUUCCUGAUAACCUCCAGUUCCUGUUUAACCUGGUCCAGCAAGCAUCCCUGAUGAUUUCCAUGGGGAGCCUGCUGGUGGAGCUCUCCAAACAACAGUGGGAUCUUAAUGAAGGAUGACUUGGAAAUUUCAUAGCACGAUAGGUUCCUUAGUGCAUGUCCAGGCCGUGACCAUGACUGUGAAGGUGGAAGAACACUGAGACGAUGCAGG
This 278-nucleotide long non-coding RNA is filed under the name Crocodylus porosus (Australian saltwater crocodile). RNAcentral describes it as "lncRNA (ENSCPRG00005002751.1)". Lineage: Eukaryota; Metazoa; Chordata; Crocodylia; Crocodylidae. The record is from RNAcentral.